RNAcentral lists this ribosomal RNA (445 nucleotides) under uncultured bacterium. RNAcentral describes it as "partial 16S ribosomal RNA". It matches the Rfam family "Bacterial small subunit ribosomal RNA", at positions 354 to 796 of the family's 1533-position model. The record is from RNAcentral.
GUGAGGAAUAUUGGUCAAUGGGCGGGAGCCUGAACCAGCCAAGUCGCGUGAAGGAAGAAGGAUCUAUGGUUCGUAAACUUCUUUUGCAGGGGAAUAAAGUGCAGGACGUGUCCUGUUUUGUAUGUACCCUGAUAAUAAGGAUCGGCUAACUCCGUGCCAGCAGCCGCGGUAAUACGGAGGAUCCGAGCGUUAUCCGGAUUUAUUGGUUUUAAAGGGUGCGUAGGUGGUUUGAUAAGUCAGCGGUGAAAGUUUGCAGCUUAACUGUAAAAAUGCCGUUGAAACUGUCGGACUUGAGUGUAAAUGAGGUAGGCGGAAUGCGUGGUGUAGCGGUGAAAUGCAUAGAUAUCACGCAGAACUCCGAUUGCGAAGGCAGCUUACUAAGCUACAACUGACACUGAAGCACGAAAGCGUGGGGAUCAAACAGGAUUAGAAACCCGAGUAGUCC